GGAGAGAUGGCUGAGCGGUUGAAAGCACCGGUCUUGAAAACCGGAGACCUCGCAAGGGGUCCGGGGGUUCGAAUCCCUCUCUCUCCGCCA
RNAcentral lists this transfer RNA (90 nucleotides) under Proteobacteria bacterium SG_bin7. RNAcentral describes it as "tRNA-Ser". It matches the Rfam family "tRNA". Rfam says of the family: Transfer RNA (tRNA) molecules are approximately 80 nucleotides in length. Lineage: Bacteria; Pseudomonadati; Pseudomonadota. The record is from RNAcentral.